RNAcentral lists this ribosomal RNA (329 nucleotides) under Staphylococcus aureus. RNAcentral describes it as "partial 23S ribosomal RNA". It matches the Rfam family "Bacterial large subunit ribosomal RNA", at positions 1910 to 2238 of the family's 2925-position model. The record is from RNAcentral. Lineage: Bacteria; Bacillati; Bacillota; Bacilli; Caryophanales; Staphylococcaceae.
AAUCGAAGCCCCAGUAAACGGCGGCCGUAACUAUAACGGUCCUAAGGUAGCGAAAUUCCUUGUCGGGUAAGUUCCGACCCGCACGAAAGGCGUAACGAUUUGGGCACUGUCUCAACGAGAGACUCGGUGAAAUCAUAGUACCUGUGAAGAUGCAGGUUACCCGCGACAGGACGGAAAGACCCCGUGGAGCUUUACUGUAGCCUGAUAUUGAAAUUCGGCACAGCUUGUACAGGAUAGGUAGGAGCCUUUGAAACGUGAGCGCUAGCUUACGUGGAGGCGCUGGUGGGAUACUACCCUAGCUGUGUUGGCUUUCUAACCCGCACCACUUA